Tribolium castaneum (red flour beetle) is the source of this 1307-nucleotide long non-coding RNA. RefSeq lists it as uncharacterized. The transcript is spliced from 2 exons. Lineage: Eukaryota; Metazoa; Arthropoda; Insecta; Coleoptera; Tenebrionidae. The record is from RefSeq and is a predicted model, not a curated record.
CUACUUACUCAGAAAAUUUAUAAAUGUAUGAAGAAAUAAAUUAUAAAAAGUAGUUUCAUUGAAUUAGUAGCCAACAACAAAAUCAAAUUUUUAGAAGCCAGAAACUUGUCUCAAAGAGCCAAAUUGGCUACAAGGAGCCAUAUCUGGCAACACUGAAUUGCUUAGUGCCGUUUACUUUUAGUUUGUGCUACUCAAAAGUGACAUGUGCCCCUUUAGAAACAUGACCGCCCCACAACAAAUGUAAGUAGACAUUCUCGUCAAAAUCUAGUCAUUUCUGUAAAUAAACCUUUUUAUACCAAAACCACCCACAUGGCUUUUAAUCCCACCCUGUGACAGUUGUAAAGAAAGCAUUUUGUUUGUUAGUAGAUAGGCUGUGCCGGUUCAGGUUCACUGCGCAUGCGCCAUUUGAGGGAUUCUCCGACGCAAAAUAUAGGAAUCCCCUGAUGUUGAUGCUAUUUUCGGAUUAUGAUGUCAUGGCUUGUCUUCGUCUGCGCUCCGAUUCAAUAGUUUUAUUACAAAUGUGACAAAUAUUGCACUCUUUAUACAGAGUGUUUGUGAACUGCGCAAAAUUUAACCACUAAAAGAAUGCGAUAUGAAAAAGUAAAAUACCUGCCGAGUAAACAAAGUACCAAAUUUGGUACGAAAGUACCAACUGGAACAACAUUGGGUAGCGAUGGCCUGAAAAACACCACAUUCCUCAAAUUCCAAUUCCAAGGGGAGAAAGCUGAUUCCAGAUGGCGGACUUUUCUAUUGUUUUACCCUUAUUAAAUCGCUAAUUCCCUAUAUUGCCAACCAGAAAAAACCGAAUCUAAAUCAAAUUCACAAGAGGAAGCCCUAUGCUCGAAAUCGCCGAUCUUCGAUACCGCUCGAGGUACAUAUCAAUUCAUCCUCAUUUUAAUCAAACAUAAUCGUCACUGAUUGAAUCAAACCUGCAAACUUCAUACCACAUACAACUCCAAAUCUCAUUCAGCAUAAGACACGAGAAAAUUAUCAAGAAUCAAGCAGAUAAACCCGAAGAAAGCUCCAUUAUUCCACGGAAACGCUUUUACUAAUUAAUUGGCGAUUGAGGAACAAAUACGUCGAUUAUAUCACAUCUCGAUAUCAACCAGAGACUUUUGCAAACCUCUGUCAAUCCUUCGAUGAUAUUAACGCAUUGUUUAGCAACUUUAAACAAUAUUUCUACUUAGUCACGUAGGCCACAGAUCCAGUGACGUCACGCAACCCCUAUAAAUAGUUGCCGCUUGGAAGAGGAAAAUCUGGUAUGCGUAAAAGCAUUUCCCCUCUCCAAAAAAAAAAAAAAAGGAAAA